This 429-nucleotide ribosomal RNA is filed under the name uncultured archaeon. Its description in RNAcentral is "bacterial SSU rRNA". It matches the Rfam family "Archaeal small subunit ribosomal RNA", at positions 474 to 903 of the family's 1478-position model. The record is from RNAcentral.
UACCAGCUCUCCGAGUGGUGUGGAUGUUUAUUGGGCCUAAAGCAUCCGUAGCUGGCUGGGCAAGUCCCCUGUUAAAUCCACCGAUUUAAUCGUUGGUGUGCGGGGGAUACUGUUCGGCUAGGGGACGGGAGAGGCCGACGGUAUUUUCGGGGUAGGGGUGAAAUCCUAUAAUCCCGGGAAGACCACCAGUGGCGAAGGCUGUCGGCCAGAACGCGCCCGACGGUGAGGGAUGAAAGCUGGGGGAGCGAACCGGAUUAGAUACCCGGGUAGUCCCAGCUGUAAACGAUGCAGGCUAGGUGUUUGGGCGGCCACGUGCCGCUCUAGUGCCGCAGAGAAGUCGUUAAGCCUGCCGCCUGGGGAGUACGGCCGCAAGGCUGAAACUUAAAGGAAUUGGCGGGGGAGCACCACAAGGGGUGAAGCUUGCGGUUU